Molecule: ribosomal RNA, 502 nt
Filed under: uncultured Glomeromycotina
Lineage: Eukaryota; Fungi; Glomeromycota
Description: partial small subunit ribosomal RNA
Rfam family: Eukaryotic small subunit ribosomal RNA
Source: RNAcentral
CCAAUAGCGUAUAUUAAAGUUGUUGCAGUUAAAAAGCUCGUAGUUGAAUUUCGGGGUCUGUCCAUUGGUCGGGCUUUACGGUCCGUACUGGUGUGAUAGGUUCCUACCUUCUGAAUAACCGGCAUGCCAUUCAGUUGGUGCGCCGGGGAAGCAGAGCUAUUACCUUGAAAAAAUUAGAGUGCUUAAAGCAGGCUAUUGCUUGAAUAGAUUAGCAUGGAAUAAUAAAAUAGGACGGCAUGGUUCUAUUUUGUUGGUUUCUAGGAUCACCGUAAUGAUUAAUAGGGAUAGUUGGGGGCAUUAGUAUUCAAUUGUCAGAGGUGAAAUUCUUGGAUUUAUUGAAGACUAACUUCUGCGAAAGCAUUUGCCAAGGAUGUUUUCAUUAAUCAAGAACGAAAGUUAGGGGAUCGAAGACGAUCAGAUACCGUCGUAGUCUUAACCAUAAACUAUGCCGACUAGGGAUCGGACGAUGUUAAUUUUUUAAUGACUCGUUCGGCGCCUUACG